UUUUCCCUCUGAACUUUGUCAGGGUCACUGAGCUGACCCUUGUUUUCACAUGUGUCCUGCCCCGUUACAUUUUGUCCCCUCCCCUCAUGUGUUCACUUGCCCCUCCCACUAACACGCUCCUCUGCUCUCUUCUCUCCUCUCACUCUCUUCCUCUCUCUCUGGAACACUCAACCCACAGGCGUGCAGAGGAGACACUCCCACACACAGCAACUCUACAGACAUGUCAGACUCCGAGACCGCCGCUCCCGCUGAGGCCCCCGUCCCUGCCGCAUGUGCAAGCAUCAAGGCGGACCUGGACAAAUGUGUGAAGGAGGGCGGUGACUGUAAGGAUCUGAUGGAGGCGUUUGCAGCCUGUCUGAAGAGUGCAGCGGAGGCGUCGUGAGGAGGGGAGGAGCUAGACUCACAGGAAAGGUCCACUGCAUUGAGUCCUCCAUGUUUCCCAGUAUUCCCUUCUGCACAACGAGCACUGGGCUGAAUGAUAGUGGCGGUGUUCGGCACCUGGCAGAAACCCUCCACCUCUUACCUCCCUCCCCAACCCCCCCUCGAAGCUUAAAUGGUGUCUUCCGAUUUGUACCCCUGCUCUGCUCCCACCGUGGCUGAGUACAACCAUUGGUAGACAAUUCCUGGAGAGCCUAUGGGUUGUAUGUAAAUUGUCCACUUGAGAUGCAUACAUUUAAAAUGGAAUAAUAAAGUCUAAAAGAAAUUGG
Molecule: long non-coding RNA, 707 nt
Organism: Salmo salar (Atlantic salmon)
Lineage: Eukaryota; Metazoa; Chordata; Actinopteri; Salmoniformes; Salmonidae
Source: RefSeq, a predicted model, not a curated record